GAUGAACGCUAGCUACAGGCUUAACACAUGCAAGUCGAGGGGCAGCGCAGUGUAGCAAUACAUGGGCGGCGACCGGCGCACGGGUGCGUAACGCGUAUCCAACCUUCCCGUUACUCAGGGAUAGCCUUCCGAAAGGGAGAUUAAUACCUGAUGGUGUUCAAAUUCCGCAUGUUAUUUGAACUAAAGAUUUAUCGGUAACGGAUGGGGAUGCGUGACAUUAGGUAGAUGGCGGGGUAACGGCCCACCAUGCCUACGAUGUCUAGGGGUUCUGAGAGGAAGGUCCCCCACACUGGAACUGAGACACGGUCCAGACUCCUACGGGAGGCAGCAGUGAGGAAUAUUGGUCAAUGGUCGGAAGACUGAACCAGCCAAGUAGCGUGAAGGAUGAAGGUUCUAUGGAUUGUAAACUUCUUUUAUACGGGAAUAAAACCUCCCACGUGUGGGAGCUUGUAUGUACCGUAUGAAUAAGCAUCGGCUAACUCCGUG
This 486-nucleotide ribosomal RNA is filed under the name uncultured bacterium. RNAcentral's name for it is "bacterial SSU rRNA". It matches the Rfam family "Bacterial small subunit ribosomal RNA", at positions 28 to 507 of the family's 1533-position model. The record is from RNAcentral.